AGCAGACCCGCGAACACGUGUUACAACUCAUGCGGUUCCUCGGCUCGGGUUGGGGAGUGAUCCCCUCCCUUGCCGCGGCACCGUGCCCGCCCGAUGCUUGCGUCUGGCGGGCUAACGAACCCCGGCGCGGCACGCGCCAAGGAAAACUCAAUGAAGCGUUGCCCUCUCGGUGCCCGUUCGCGGUGCCUCCGUGGGGAUGCGGCGUCUCUCGAAUGUCAUAACGACUCUCGGCAACGGAUAUCUCGGCUCUCGCAUCGAUGAAGAACGUAGCGAAAUGCGAUACUUGGUGUGAAUUGCAGGAUCCCGUGAAUCAUCGAGUCUUUGAACGCAAGUUGCGCCCGAAGCCACUAGGCCUAGGGCACGCCUGCAUGGGCGUCACGCAUCGCGUCGCCCCCCAUCCCGAUCCCAUGGAUCUGCGGACGGGGGUGGAUAUUGGCCUCCCGUGUGCGUGAGCAUGCGGCCGGCCCAAAUUCGAUCCCGCGUCGACGGACGUCGCGACCAGUGGUGGUUGAAACAUCAAUCGUGCUGUCGUGCCGUGCCCCGUCGGUUGCUUGGGCAUCGUCUAGACCCCGUCGGAUUGCUCGGGCAUCGUCUAGACCCAACGGGCACUCUACGUGCCUUCGACCGCGACCCCAGGUCAGGCGGGACUACCCGCUGAGUUUAAGCUUAACAUAAGCCGGGAA
RNAcentral lists this ribosomal RNA (683 nucleotides) under Globularia nudicaulis. RNAcentral's name for it is "eukaryotic LSU rRNA". The stretch from base 223 to 378 matches the Rfam family "5.8S ribosomal RNA". Lineage: Eukaryota; Viridiplantae; Streptophyta; Magnoliopsida; Lamiales; Plantaginaceae. The record is from RNAcentral.